RNAcentral lists this unclassified non-coding RNA (221 nucleotides) under Hevea brasiliensis (rubber tree). The record is from RNAcentral. Lineage: Eukaryota; Viridiplantae; Streptophyta; Magnoliopsida; Malpighiales; Euphorbiaceae.
GACAAGGCAUGUAACAACUGUAGGAAGACUGGUCAUUUGGCACGUGACUGUCAAAAUGCUCCUAUUUGCAACAUGUGCAAUGUAUCUGGGCAUGUGGCUAGACACUGCCCAAAAGCCAAUACGCUUGGAGAUUUUCGCAGCAGCAGUUACCAGGACAUUGUGUGCAGGAACUGCCAUCAGUAUGGGCACAUUAGCAGGGAUUGCAUGGGCCCAUUAAUGAU